Molecule: unclassified non-coding RNA, 329 nt
Filed under: soil metagenome
Description: partial contains 5.8S ribosomal RNA, internal transcribed spacer 2, and large subunit ribosomal RNA
Rfam family: 5.8S ribosomal RNA (bases 1-120)
Source: RNAcentral
GAUGAAGAACGUAGCGAAAUGCGAUACGUAAUGUGAAUUGCAGAAUUCAGUGAAUCAUCGAAUCUUUGAACGCACAUUGCGCCCCUUGGUAUCCCGAGGGGCAUGCCUGUUCGAGCGUCAUUUCACCACUCAAGCCUGGCUUGGUGUUGGGCGACGUCCCCUUUGGGGACGCGCCUCGAAACGCUCGGCGGCGUGGCACCGGCUUUAAGCGUAGCAGAAUCUUUCGCUUUGGAAGUCGGGGCCCCGUCUGCCGGAAGACCUACUCGCAAGGUUGACCUCGGAUCAGGCAGGGAUACCCGCUGAACUUAAGCAUAUCAAUAAGCGGAGGA